Molecule: ribosomal RNA, 159 nt
Filed under: Triticum aestivum (bread wheat)
Lineage: Eukaryota; Viridiplantae; Streptophyta; Magnoliopsida; Poales; Poaceae
Description: partial small subunit ribosomal RNA
Source: RNAcentral
AUGCAUCAGGGUUGGUUAUCUAAUUGGCUAGUCAAACAUGAGGUGGUUCAUAGAUCUUUGGGCUUUGAUCACCGAGGAAUAGAGACUUUACAAAUGAAAGCAGGGGAUUGGGAUUCCAUUGCUGUCAUUUUAUAUGUAUAUGGUUACAAUUAUUCUUAA